AGCAGCCGCGGUAAUUCCAGCUCCAAUAGCGUAUAUUUAAGUUGUUGCAGUUAAAAAGCUCGUAGUUGAAUUUCGGGACCAAUAUGUCGGUCGUGCCUCGGUACGUACUGGUGUCAUUGGUUUCUCUCUUCUGAGGAUCCUUGAUGUCAUUAAUUUGGUGUCUUGGGAAAUCAGGACUGUUACCUUGAAAAAAAUUGAGUGUUUAAAGCAGGCAUACGCUUGAAUACAUUAGCAUGGAAUAAUGAAAUAGGACGUUCGAUUCUAUUUUGUUGGUUUCUAGGAUCGACGUAAUGAUUAAUAGGGAUAGUUGGGGGCAUUAGUAUUCAAUUGUCAGAGGUGAAAUUCUUGGAUUUAUUGAAGACUAACUACUGCGAAAGCAUUUGCCAAGGAUGUUUUAUAAUCAAGAACGAAAGUUGGGGAUCGAAGACGAUCAGAUACCGUCGUAGUCUUAACCAUAAACCUACGACCGACUAGGGAUCGGAUGAUGUUAAUUUUUAGUNACUCAUUCGGCGCCUUAACC
RNAcentral lists this ribosomal RNA (520 nucleotides) under uncultured Glomus. RNAcentral's name for it is "SSU rRNA". It matches the Rfam family "Eukaryotic small subunit ribosomal RNA", at positions 569 to 1093 of the family's 1831-position model. The record is from RNAcentral. Lineage: Eukaryota; Fungi; Glomeromycota; Glomeromycetes; Glomerales; Glomeraceae.